AACGAACGCUGGCGGCAUGCCUAACACAUGCAAGUCGAACCAGACCUUCGGGUCUAGUGGCGCACGGGUGCGUAACGCGUGGGAACCUGCCCUUAGGUUCGGAAUAACUCCCCGAAAGGGGUGCUAAUACCGGAUAAUGUCUUCGGACCAAAGAUUUAUCGCCUUUGGAUGGGCCCGCGUUGGAUUAGCUAGUUGGUAGGGUAAAAGCCUACCAAGGCGACAAUCCAUAGCUGGUCUGAGAGGAUGAUCAGCCACACUGGGACUGAGACACGGCCCAGACUCCUACGGGAGGCAGCAGUGGGGAAUAUUGGACAAUGGGCGAAAGCCUGAUCCAGCAAUGCCGCGUGAGUGAUGAAGGCCUUAGGGUUGUAAAGCUCUUUUACCCGGGAUGAUAAUGACAGUACCGGGAGAAUAAGCUCCGGCUAACUCCGUG
Molecule: ribosomal RNA, 433 nt
Filed under: uncultured bacterium
Lineage: Bacteria
Description: partial 16S ribosomal RNA
Rfam family: Bacterial small subunit ribosomal RNA
Source: RNAcentral